Molecule: long non-coding RNA, 1136 nt
Organism: Ailuropoda melanoleuca (giant panda)
Lineage: Eukaryota; Metazoa; Chordata; Mammalia; Carnivora; Ursidae
Exons: 2
Source: RefSeq, a predicted model, not a curated record
CCGGGACCGUAUCAAUGAUGCUUUCCGCCUGGAUGACAACAGCCUGGAGUUUCUGGGGAUUCAGCCAACACUGGGACCGCCUUACCAGCCACCUGUCACCAUAUGGCUGAUUGUGUUUGGGGUCGUGAUGGGAUUGGUGGUGAUUGGCAUCGUCCUGCUCAUCUUCUCCGGGAUCAGAAAUCGAAGGAAGAACGAUCAAGCCAGAAGUGAAGAAAAUCCUUAUGCCUCUGUGGACUUGAGUAAAGGAGAAAAUAAUCCAGGAUUCCAAAAUGCUGAUGAUGUUCAGACUUCAUUUUAGGAAAAUCUGAUUUCCUCUUGAGGUGAUUUUAUUGCAUGCACAUGUUAAUUUUAUGGUACAGACAAUAUGAGAUUAUAAAGAUGUCAUUAACUAUCAAAACGAUGGCUCUGUUCAGGAAAAGUUGUCCCAAGAAGACAUGCCUGAGGAGAGGGCAUCUUCACUGGCUUUCAGUAUUUAUUUCUGCCUUGGGAUUUCACUUCUGUUCAUGUUUGAGGGGAAUAGAGAAAAUGUAUCUUCGGCCUCACCAGCUGUUCAGGGGUAAUGGAAGUGGACAUGUCUGUUGCAUGGCUGGAGUAGAAAAAGAGGGAUAUAUGUGGCGGGAGCAAGUGGGGCCUUGUAUGGAAUCCAGAUGGAUUGCUUUUGAGGACAGUGUUCGUGAACUGGCGGAACUGCAGGGAGCAAGAAUGGCAUACGCCGUUCACUUCCCUUUAAUUCAAGUGUAAAGGAUGGCACACGCUUUAACUUUAAGUUAAUCUAAGUACUAUAGUGAUUUGCCCACAGUGGUGAUUGGACUAGAUCAUGCCUUCUUCAGGAUGAGAGGUCUAAAGAAGAGAGAAGAAUCCAGAGAGCUGUUCACAGAUGGUGUCUUUUCACUUCCAUUCAUGCUUGAUCAUUAUCUCCCUAACAACGUAAGACUAGCCCCAGGAGCCUCCUGGAACCACCGCCCCCAGCACUCCUGAUGGAAACUCACUUCUAUUGCUCUCUGUGGAGCGACUAGAAACGUCAACUUCAUGCCUUCCUUGGAAGUGGGUACCCAAUCUCUUAAGUCUUGUAUUCCCCCAUAAUGUCUGAGUAGUGCUGAGCACAAACUACACACUCAAUAAAUACUAGAUUCACA